RNAcentral lists this ribosomal RNA (255 nucleotides) under uncultured bacterium. Its description in RNAcentral is "partial 16S ribosomal RNA". It matches the Rfam family "Archaeal small subunit ribosomal RNA", at positions 474 to 727 of the family's 1478-position model. The record is from RNAcentral.
UACCAGCACCCCGAGUGGUCGGGACGAUUAUUGGGCCUAAAGCAUCCGUAGCCGGUCCUACAAGUCUUCCGUUAAAUCCACCUGCUUAACAGAUGGGCUGCGGAAGAUACUAUAGGGCUAGGAGGCGGGAGAGGCAAGCGGUACUCAGUGGGUAGGGGUAAAAGUACCUCUGAUCCAUUGAAGACCACCAGUGGCGAAGGCGGCUUGCCAGAACGCGCUCGACGGUGAGGGAUGAAAGCUGGGGGAGCAAACCGG